Molecule: ribosomal RNA, 440 nt
Filed under: uncultured bacterium
Lineage: Bacteria
Description: partial 16S ribosomal RNA
Rfam family: Bacterial small subunit ribosomal RNA
Source: RNAcentral
CUACGGGCUGCUCCAGUGGGGAAUAUUGCACAACGGAGGAAACUCUGAUGCAGCAACGCCGCGUGGAGGAUGACACUUUUCGGAGCGUAAACUCCUUUUAUAUAGGAAGAAGAUGACGGUACUAUAUGAAUAAGCGCCGGCUAACUCCGUGCCAGCAGGCCGCGGUAAUACGGAGGGCGCAAGCGUUACUCGGAAUCACUGGGCGUAAAGAGCGUGUAGGCGGAUUAAAAAGUCAGAAGUGAAAUCCUAUAGCUUAACUAUAGAACUGCUUCUGAAACUCUUAAUCUAGAAUAUGGGAGAGGUAGAUGGAAUUUCUGGUGUAGGGGUAAAAUCCGUAGAGAUCAGAAGGAAUACCGAUUGCGAAGGCGAUCUACUAGAACAUUAUUGACGCUGAGACGCGAAAGCGUGGGGAGCAAACAGGAUUAGAUACCCUAGUAGUC